UUAAGCGACUAAGCGUACACGGUGGAUGCCCUGGCAGUCAGAGGCGAUGAAGGACGUGCUAAUCUGCGAUAAGCGUCGGUAAGGUGAUAUGAACCGUUAUAACCGGCGAUUUCCGAAUGGGGAAACCCAGUGUGAUUCGUCACACUAUCAUUAACUGAAUCCAUAGGUUAAUGAGGCGAACCGGGGGAACUGAAACAUCUAAGUACCCCGAGGAAAAGAAAUCAACCGAGAUUCCCCCAGUAGCGGCGAGCGAACGGGGAGCAGCCCAGAGCCUGAAUCAGUGUGUGUGUUAGUGGAAGCGUCUGGAAAGGCGCGCGAUACAGGGUGACAGCCCCGUACACAAAAAUGCACAUGCUGUGAGCUCGAUGAGUAGGGCGGGACACGUGGUAUCCUGUCUGAAUAUGGGGGGACCAUCCUCCAAGGCUAAAUACUCCUGACUGACCGAUAGUGAACCAGUACCGUGAGGGAAAGGCGAAAAGAACCCCGGCGAGGGGAGUGAAAAAGAACCUGAAACCGUGUACGUACAAGCAGUGGGAGCACGCUUAGGCGUGUGACUGCGUACCUUUUGUAUAAUGGGUCAGCGACUUAUAUUCUGUAGCAAGGUUAACCGAAUAGGGGAGCCGAAGGGAAACCGAGUCUUAACUGGGCGUUAAGUUGCAGGGUAUAGACCCGAAACCCGGUGAUCUAGCCAUGGGCAGGUUGAAGGUUGGGUAACACUAACUGGAGGACCGAACCGACUAAUGUUGAAAAAUUAGCGGAUGACUUGUGGCUGGGGGUGAAAGGCCAAUCAAACCGGGAGAUAGCUGGUUCUCCCCGAAAGCUAUUUAGGUAGCGCCUCGUGAAUUCAUCUCCGGGGGUAGAGCACUGUUUCGGCAAGGGGGUCAUCCCGACUUACCAACCCGAUGCAAACUGCGAAUACCGGAGAAUGUUAUCACGGGAGACACACGGCGGGUGCUAACGUCCGUCGUGAAGAGGGAAACAACCCAGACCGCCAGCUAAGGUCCCAAAGUCAUGGUUAAGUGGGAAACGAUGUGGGAAGGCCCAGACAGCCAGGAUGUUGGCUUAGAAGCAGCCAUCAUUUAAAGAAAGCGUAAUAGCUCACUGGUCGAGUCGGCCUGCGCGGAAGAUGUAACGGGGCUAAACCAUGCACCGAAGCUGCGGCAGCGACGCUUAUGCGUUGUUGGGUAGGGGAGCGUUCUGUAAGCCUGCGAAGGUGUGCUGUGAGGCAUGCUGGAGGUAUCAGAAGUGCGAAUGCUGACAUAAGUAACGAUAAAGCGGGUGAAAAGCCCGCUCGCCGGAAGACCAAGGGUUCCUGUCCAACGUUAAUCGGGGCAGGGUGAGUCGACCCCUAAGGCGAGGCCGAAAGGCGUAGUCGAUGGGAAACAGGUUAAUAUUCCUGUACUUGGUGUUACUGCGAAGGGGGGACGGAGAAGGCUAUGUUGGCCGGGCGACGGUUGUCCCGGUUUAAGCGUGUAGGCUGGUUUUCCAGGCAAAUCCGGAAAAUCAAGGCUGAGGCGUGAUGACGAGGCACUACGGUGCUGAAGCAACAAAUGCCCUGCUUCCAGGAAAAGCCUCUAAGCAUCAGGUAACAUCAAAUCGUACCCCAAACCGACACAGGUGGUCAGGUAGAGAAUACCAAGGCGCUUGAGAGAACUCGGGUGAAGGAACUAGGCAAAAUGGUGCCGUAACUUCGGGAGAAGGCACGCUGAUAUGUAGGUGAAGUCCCUCGCGGAUGGAGCUGAAAUCAGUCGAAGAUACCAGCUGGCUGCAACUGUUUAUUAAAAACACAGCACUGUGCAAACACGAAAGUGGACGUAUACGGUGUGACGCCUGCCCGGUGCCGGAAGGUUAAUUGAUGGGGUUAGCGCAAGCGAAGCUCUUGAUCGAAGCCCCGGUAAACGGCGGCCGUAACUAUAACGGUCCUAAGGUAGCGAAAUUCCUUGUCGGGUAAGUUCCGACCUGCACGAAUGGCGUAAUGAUGGCCAGGCUGUCUCCACCCGAGACUCAGUGAAAUUGAACUCGCUGUGAAGAUGCAGUGUACCCGCGGCAAGACGGAAAGACCCCGUGAACCUUUACUAUAGCUUGACACUGAACAUUGAGCCUUGAUGUGUAGGAUAGGUGGGAGGCUUUGAAGUGUGGACGCCAGUCUGCAUGGAGCCGACCUUGAAAUACCACCCUUUAAUGUUUGAUGUUCUAACGUGGACCCGUAAUCCGGGUUGCGGACAGUGUCUGGUGGGUAGUUUGACUGGGGCGGUCUCCUCCUAAAGAGUAACGGAGGAGCACGAAGGUUGGCUAAUCCUGGUCGGACAUCAGGAGGUUAGUGCAAUGGCAUAAGCCAGCUUGACUGCGAGCGUGACGGCGCGAGCAGGUGCGAAAGCAGGUCAUAGUGAUCCGGUGGUUCUGAAUGGAAGGGCCAUCGCUCAACGGAUAAAAGGUACUCCGGGGAUAACAGGCUGAUACCGCCCAAGAGUUCAUAUCGACGGCGGUGUUUGGCACCUCGAUGUCGGCUCAUCACAUCCUGGGGCUGAAGUAGGUCCCAAGGGUAUGGCUGUUCGCCAUUUAAAGUGGUACGCGAGCUGGGUUUAGAACGUCGUGAGACAGUUCGGUCCCUAUCUGCCGUGGGCGCUGGAGAACUGAGGGGGGCUGCUCCUAGUACGAGAGGACCGGAGUGGACGCAUCACUGGUGUUCGGGUUGUCAUGCCAAUGGCACUGCCCGGUAGCUAAAUGCGGAAGAGAUAAGUGCUGAAAGCAUCUAAGCACGAAACUUGCCCCGAGAUGAGUUCUCCCUGACUCCUUGAGAGUCCUGAAGGAACGUUGAAGACGACGACGUUGAUAGGCCGGGUGUGUAAGCGCAGCGAUGCGUUGAGCUAACCGGUACUAAUGAACCGUGAGGCUUAACCUU
Molecule: ribosomal RNA, 2902 nt
Filed under: Escherichia coli
Lineage: Bacteria; Pseudomonadati; Pseudomonadota; Gammaproteobacteria; Enterobacterales; Enterobacteriaceae
Description: bacterial LSU rRNA
Rfam family: Bacterial large subunit ribosomal RNA
Source: RNAcentral